Long non-coding RNA from Mizuhopecten yessoensis (Yesso scallop), 458 nucleotides. RefSeq lists it as uncharacterized. The record is from RefSeq and is a predicted model, not a curated record. NCBI's taxonomy places the organism in Eukaryota, Metazoa, Mollusca, Bivalvia, Pectinida, Pectinidae. The transcript is spliced from 4 exons.
GAUGGUAAUCCGCCCAUGUCUCCAGCUACAUGUGCAGUACCAGUAAUGAAAUAUUGACUGUACGGAUUGUGUCUACACGGUCCUUAUGUGACUAAUACUUCAUCUGUAUAAAAAGUACUAGUGAACUUUGUUUCGCUGUAGGCUUUUUUAGCUACAGGUGUAUCAUGGUAUUAUGAAGUUCUGCGUUUAAAGAAUUAUUCCAGGGGAUCAACGGCAGAACUGGAGGAAAUUUAGCCGGAUCGAUCUUAGGUUUAACAAUGACAACCAGAGGUUCAUCACCAUCUAAGAAGGACAUUUAGCCGGAUCGAUCUUAGGUUUAACAAUGGCGACGGGAGGUUCAUCACCAUCUAAGAAGGACAUUUAGCCGCAGCGAUCUUAGGUUAAACAAUGGCGACGGGAGGUGCAUCACGAUCUAAGAAGGUAGGAUUACAUCAGUUACAUAUUUGCAUUUAAUUGUC